RNAcentral lists this ribosomal RNA (428 nucleotides) under uncultured prokaryote. RNAcentral's name for it is "bacterial SSU rRNA". It matches the Rfam family "Bacterial small subunit ribosomal RNA", at positions 355 to 774 of the family's 1533-position model. The record is from RNAcentral.
UGGGGAAUUUUGCGCAAUGGGGGAAACCCUGACGCAGCAACGCCGCGUGAGUGAUGAAGGCCUUCGGGUCGUAAAGCUCUGUCAGGGGGGAAGAAAUGUAGGGGUGCUAAUAUCGCCUUUACUUGACGGUACCCUCAAAGGAAGCACCGGCUAACUCCGUGCCAGCAGCCGCGGUAAUACGGAGGGUGCGAGCGUUGUUCGGAAUUAUUGGGCGUAAAGCGCGUGUAGGCGGUUUGGUAAGUCUGAUGUGAAAGCCCCGGGCUCAACCCGGGAAGUGCAUUGGAAACUGUCAGACUUGAAUACGGGAGAGGGUAGUGGAAUUCCUAGUGUAGGAGUGAAAUCCGUAGAUAUUAGGAGGAACACCGGUGGCGAAGGCGGCUACCUGGACCGAUAUUGACGCUGAGACGCGAAAGCGUGGGGAGCAAACA